UGAUCCUGCCGGUAUCUCAUCUCUUAGUUAAAAGAUUAAUCCAUGCAUGUGUUUGGCACAGUUAUAGUGCCUGCAGACGGCUCAUUAAAACAGAGAUAACUUACCCUCCAAUACAAUCGAAUAACUUUGCUAAUUGUGAGGCUAAUACGUGGUAACAGGUGUUAUGCAUCACCCUGAUUGUAGAAUUGUGCUCUCAAGGAAUACAACCAGGUGUUUAGAUAUAUUCUAAGGAGGAAAGGUCUCUGAUCUAUCAGCUACAGACGGUAAUGUAUUGGAUUACCGUGGCUUUGACGGAUAACGGGGAAUUAGGGUUUGAUUCCGGAGAGAGCGCAUGAGAAAUUGCGCUUACAGCUAAGGUUGGCAGCAGGAGCGAAAACUUUUCGAAUGAGCAACGCUUGAAAAGGUGACGAACUGUAUCAACAUCAGCUAACGUUGAUGAUUGAAAUGAAACGAUAUAGAUGAUUCGUUGAGUAGCUAGUUCAGGGCAAGUCU
This 492-nucleotide ribosomal RNA is filed under the name uncultured eukaryote. RNAcentral describes it as "bacterial SSU rRNA". It matches the Rfam family "Eukaryotic small subunit ribosomal RNA", at positions 9 to 562 of the family's 1831-position model. The record is from RNAcentral.